GACGAACGCUGGCGGCGUGCUUAACACAUGCAAGUCGAACGGAAAGGCCCCUUUGGGGGUACUCGAGUGGCGAACGGGUGAGUAACACGUGAGUAACCUGCCCUUGACUUCGGGAUAACUUCAGGAAACUGGGGCUAAUACCGGAUAGGAAUCCUUGCUGCAUGGUGGGGGUUGGAAAGCUUCGGCGGUUUUGGAUGGACUCGCGGCCUAUCAGCUUGUUGGUGGGGUAGUGGCUUACCAAGGCUUUGACGGGUAGCCGGCCUGAGAGGGCGACCGGCCACAUUGGGACUGGGGAAACGCCCCGACUCCCACGGGGGGCAGGAGUGGGGGAUAUUGCAAAAUGGGGCGAAGCCUGAAGCAGGCGCGGCGGGGGCGGGAUGGCGGGCUUCGGGUUGUAAACCGCUUUCAGCAGGGGCGGAGCUUGUGGUGACGGUACCUGGAGAAGAAGCACCGGCUAACUACGUG
This 465-nucleotide ribosomal RNA is filed under the name uncultured bacterium. RNAcentral describes it as "partial 16S ribosomal RNA". It matches the Rfam family "Bacterial small subunit ribosomal RNA", at positions 28 to 507 of the family's 1533-position model. The record is from RNAcentral.